UUAGGGGGCGCACCUGAUGUCCCCGCUCCGGGGGGGGAGAGCGCCUUGGGGGUGUAGGGCUGUCACCUUUUACCGUUGAAGUGUAGGGUCUUUAGUUUAAUACCUUGGGAUGUUGACCUUUCCGCCGAAAAAAAACCCGGGUACUUCGGGGCCAGCGGCCCGCGGUAUUACGGGGGGGGCAGGGGUUAUUCGAAUUUAGGGGACUUAAACCCCCCAGGAAGGGGGGCUGCUUAAGUCGAAGGAGAAAUCCCCGACUUUUACCUGUGGGACUUGCUUUCAAUCCCGGUUACCUAAAUUGUGGAAAAGGAGGGUGGAAAUUUCCAGGUACCGUUAAAUUGCUUAAAGGUCUGAAGAAAUUCCGUAUGGCAAAGGCACCCCCCUGGCCUAAAAGUGCACUUAAGGUGCAAAGGCGUGGGUAGCAAACAGGAUUAAUUCCCCGGGAAUUCCAUUCCGAAAACAAAUGCCAACUGGCCGUUGGGCGCCUUUGAGGCUUAAUGGCCAAAACUAACCGCUUUAAUUCAUCCCCGCCUGGGGAAAUUCCCCCCCCCCCAAGAGUAAAACCUCAAUUUGAAUUUGGCCGGGGGGCCCCCCCACAGGGCGGGGGGGAGCCUUUGUGUUUUUAGUUCCAAACCCAACCCUGAAAAAUCCCUUUCCCCUGGCCCUUCAAAAUUAUCUAAAAAAUUUUUCCAAAAUGGGGUUCCGGGCCCCCCCGGAAACCUUAAAAACCGGGUGAAUCCUUGGGUUUUUCCCCCGCGCGUUUUGGGAAGAGUUUGGGCUUUAAACCCCCCAAAAAAAAAACCAAACCCCUUUUUUAAUUUUUUUUCCCCCGCCCAAACCGAAGUCCCGGGAAAUUUAUUAGACCCCUCCCCGUUUAAAAAAAGGGGGGAAGAAGGGGGGGGAAAAAAAAACCAAGGUUCCCUUUUGGCCCCCUUUGAGACCCGGGGGUCCCACCCGGGGUUUUAAAAAGGGGGGAAAAAUCAAGCGGGUGUCCCCCCCCCCCGGGUGGGAUUCUCAUAAACCCAAAAACCCCCCUCUUUUUCCCCCUGCUGGAGUUCUCCCCCCCACCCCCCCCCCCGAAAUUCCGGAAAGCCUGGGAAAUCCCUGGAUCUUGAAAAACCCCGGGGAAAAAAAUUUUCCGGGGUGCUUUUUCCCCACCCCAGCUUCCCAGGAGGGGGGUUAUUUCCCCCCCAAAAAAAUUUGCCCCCCCUUUGCCGGGGUUCCGCCUCUCGGUUUUAACUUUUAGGUCUAUGUUAGUCAGGGUAUUCCUUUCUGUUCUUAAUAACACCCCUUCGGGGCCCUACACCCUUCUCCCGUUAAUUUCCCCCCUCGGUAUACACGCUUGCUCACCCCCUUGUUCUCUACCUGAACACACAAUCUCAGCCUACUUCCCCUCACACCCUCCCCGAAGAAAAGACCCUAGCCCCAGCCUUUUUCACCACGCUCGCGUGAUCCUCCUUCCCCUCCUCUUGAUUCCUGUGUCCUCUUCUGCCUGCA
Molecule: ribosomal RNA, 1494 nt
Filed under: uncultured soil bacterium
Lineage: Bacteria
Description: partial 16S ribosomal RNA
Rfam family: Bacterial small subunit ribosomal RNA (bases 1-568)
Source: RNAcentral